UGUCUACUAAUUAUAGACCUGUAUGAAAGGCAAAAUGAGGGUCCAACUGUCUCUUAUAAUAAAUCAAUUAAACUGAUCUCCUAGUAAAAAAGCUAGAAUAAUACCAUAAGACCAGAAGACCCUGUGAAGCUUAAAUUAAACUACUAAAUCACAUAGUAAUUACUUUCGGUUGGGGCGACCUCGGAAAAAAACAAAACUUCCAAGACCCAGUAAAACUGACAAUUGAACCAAGUUACUCCAGGGAUAACAGCGCAAUCUUCUUCAAGAGCCCAUAUCAAAAAGAAGGUUUACGACCUCGAUGUUGGAUCAGGACAUCCUAAUGGUGCAGCCGCUAUUAAGGGUUCGUUUGUUCAACGAUNAACAGUCCUACGUGAUCUGA
This 379-nucleotide ribosomal RNA is filed under the name Rhinocheilus lecontei (longnose snake). Its description in RNAcentral is "partial 16S ribosomal RNA". It matches the Rfam family "Bacterial large subunit ribosomal RNA", at positions 1970 to 2608 of the family's 2925-position model. Lineage: Eukaryota; Metazoa; Chordata; Lepidosauria; Squamata; Colubridae. The record is from RNAcentral.